UAGAUUGAAGCCCGUUGUUUUGGGUAUUUAGCUGUUAACUAAGUUUUCGUGGGUUAGAGUCCCAUCAAUCUAG
This is a non-coding RNA of Nannospalax galili (Upper Galilee mountains blind mole rat), 73 nucleotides long. The record is from the annotation of a RefSeq genome assembly. Lineage: Eukaryota; Metazoa; Chordata; Mammalia; Rodentia; Spalacidae.